Molecule: long non-coding RNA, 1449 nt
Organism: Nyctereutes procyonoides (raccoon dog)
Lineage: Eukaryota; Metazoa; Chordata; Mammalia; Carnivora; Canidae
Exons: 3
Source: RefSeq, a predicted model, not a curated record
UUUUAAACGAUUUUUUUUAAACCACUGGGUCGGUGCUUCUCAAACUUCCAGCGAGCGUCUGAAUCACCUGCAGGACCUGUUAAAACAGCUUUCUGGGCUCCACCUCCAGACUUUGGGAUUGAGAAGGUCUGGGGUGGGGCUCCAGAAUUUGCAUGUCAACGCGUUCCCAGGUGACGCUACAGCUACUGGUCUGGCCACACUCUGAGAAUUGCGGGCUUUCAAGGCUGCUGCUCAAUCUUGACCGGGUAUGGGACGCAGCUAGGGAUUGUUAAAAUGCAAAUUCUGAUUCAGCAGGUGUGGAAGGAGGCUUCGUUGAAGGUGAUGCAACCAAAAGUGGUUCCGCCGCCCACACUUUUUGAGAGGGUGGGGGCUUCCAGCCGAGGUUGUGUUCCUGUCCACGCGCUCCAGGAAGCCGAGCAUCUCUCCAUCAAUCCGUCAGCCUGCGGGUCCCCGCCACUUCCCGCCUGCGCUCCCAGAAAGCCCGCAGGCUGAGCCGGAGGUAGACUGCUCCAAAGGUGUUGGCACGUUACAUUUCAGGGAUGGAGAAGAGGCGUGGGAUUGGAAAGUCGCAUAUGGGAGCAUCGUUAUCAAGAUGUGGCUAUCACAAUGGAACCAACAUGCAGAAGAAUGAAACUAGACCAUUGUCUUACACCAUACACAAAGAUAAACUCAAAAUGGAUGAAAGAUCUAAAUGUGAGACAAGAAUCCAUCAAAAUCAGAGGAGAACCCAGGGAACACCCUUUUUGAACUUGACCACAGCAACUUCUUGCAAGAUACAUCUAUGAAGGCAAGGGAAACAAAAGCAAAGACGAACUAUUGGGACUUAAUCAAGAUAAAAAGCUUCUGCACAGCAAAAGAAAGAGUCAGCAAAACUAAAAGACAACCUACAGAAUGGGAGAAGAUAUUUGCAAAUGACUUAUCAGAUAAAGGGCUAGUAUCCAAGAUCUAUAAAGAACUUAUUAAACUCAACAGCAAAGAAACAAACAGUCCAAUCAUGAAAUGGGCAAAAGACAUGAACAGAAAUUUCACCAAAGAAGACAUAGUCUGAGCAAUUGCACUACUGGGGAUUUACCCCAAAGAUACAGAUGCAGUGAAAUGGCAGGGCACCUGCACUCCAAUGUUUAUAGCAGCAAUGUCCACAAUAGCAAAACUGUGGAGGGAUCCUUGGUGUCCAUCGAAAGAUGAAUGGAUAAAGAUGUGGAAAAUAUAUAUAAUGGAAUAUUAGCCAAUAGAAUGGCAAAUACCCACCAUUGCUUCAAUGUGGAUAGAAUUGGAGGGUAUUAUGCUGAGUCAAGUAAGUCAAUUGGAGAAGGACAAUCAUUGUAUGGUUUCACUCAUAUGGGGAAUAUAAAAAAUAGUGAAAGGGAUUAUAGUAGAAAGGAGAGAAAAUGAGUGGGAAAAAUUAGAGAGGGUGACAAACCAUGAGAGACUCCUAACUCUGGGAAAUAA